RNAcentral lists this ribosomal RNA (912 nucleotides) under Parastagonospora forlicesenica. RNAcentral's name for it is "LSU rRNA". It matches the Rfam family "Eukaryotic large subunit ribosomal RNA", at positions 37 to 970 of the family's 3401-position model. Lineage: Eukaryota; Fungi; Ascomycota; Dothideomycetes; Pleosporales; Phaeosphaeriaceae. The record is from RNAcentral.
UACAUAUCAAUAAGCGGAGGAAAAGAAACCAACAGGGAUUGCCCUAGUAACGGCGAGUGAAGCGGCAACAGCUCAAAUUUGAAAUCUGGCUCUUUUAGAGUCCGAGUUGUAAUUUGCAGAGGGCGCUUUGGCGUUGGGAGCGGUCCAAGUUCUUUGGAACAGGACGUCACAGAGGGUGAGAAUCCCGUACGUGGUCGCUAUCCUUCGCCGUGUAAAGCCCCUUCGACGAGUCGAGUUGUUUGGGAAUGCAGCUCUAAAUGGGAGGUAAAUUUCUUCUAAAGCUAAAUACUGGCCAGAGACCGAUAGCGCACAAGUAGAGUGAUCGAAAGAUGAAAAGCACUUUGGAAAGAGAGUCAAAUAGCACGUGAAAUUGUUGAAAGGGAAGCGCUUGCAGCCAGACUUGCCUGUAGUUGCUUAUCUGGACUUUUGUCCAGUGCACUCUUCUGCGGGCAGGCCAGCAUCAGUUUGGGCGGUUGGAUAAAGGUCUCUGUCAUGUACCUCCUUUCGGGGAGGCCUUAUAGGGGAGACGACAUGCAACCAGCCUGGACUGAGGUCCGCGCAUCUGCUAGGAUGCUGGCGUAAUGGCUGUAAGCGGCCCGUCUUGAAACACGGACCAAGGAGUCUAACAUCUAUGCGAGUGUUUGGGUGUCAAGCCCAGACGCGUAAUGAAAGUGAACGGAGGUGGGAACCUUUUAGGUGCACCAUCGACCGAUCCUGAUGUCUUCGGAAGGAUUUGAGUAAGAGCAUAGCUGUUGGGACCCGAAAGAUGGUGAACUAUGCUUGAAUAGGGUGAAGCCAGAGGAAACUCUGGUGGAGGCUCGCAGCGGUUCUGACGUGCAAAUCGAUCGUCAAAUUUGGGCAUAGGGGCGAAAGACUAAUCGAACUAUCUAGUAGCUGGUUCCUGCGAGUUCU